This is a non-coding RNA of Salmo salar (Atlantic salmon), 72 nucleotides long. Lineage: Eukaryota; Metazoa; Chordata; Actinopteri; Salmoniformes; Salmonidae. The record is from Rfam.
CGUAUGGUGGCCAAGUGUUAAGGCGUUGGUCUGGUAAACCGAAGAUCAUGGGUUCAAAUCCCUUCUGUACCU